Molecule: ribosomal RNA, 460 nt
Filed under: uncultured bacterium
Lineage: Bacteria
Description: partial 16S ribosomal RNA
Rfam family: Bacterial small subunit ribosomal RNA
Source: RNAcentral
CCUACGAGUGGCAGCAGUGAGGAAUAUUGGUCAAUGGGCGCGAGCCUGAACCAUCCAAGUCGCGUGAGGGAGGCCGGCCCUACGGGUUGUAAACCUCUUUUGCCGGGGAGCAACGGGCGUCCCGUGUGGCGCCACUGCGAGUACCCGGAGAAAAAGCAUCGGCUAACUCCGUGCCAGCAGCCGCGGUAAUACGGAGGAUGCGAGCGUUAUCCGGAUGUAUUGGGGUUAAAGGGGGCGUAGGCGGAUCGUUAAGUCCGUGGUCAAAUGGAGGGGCUCAACCCCUUCCCGACAUUGAACCUGGCGCUCUUGAGUGGAAGAGAAGUAUGCGGAAUGCGUGGUGUAGCGGUGAAAUGCAUAGAUAUCACGCAGAACCCCGAUUGCGAAGGCAGCAUGCCGGCUUCCGACUGACGCUGAAGCACGAAAGCGUGGGGAUCGAACAGGAUUAGAUACCCCAGUAGUC